CUUCAGAAUAAAGUAAAUGUUAGUUAUUCGCCGGUUGUCAUGUUCAUCGUGAAUGAAAAAAAAAGUUAAAAAUCAUUCAAUAUGUAAUUUCAAGACCUUCGAAGGAAUACACCACUAAAACAAGUGCCGUGCUACACUUUACAUGUAGCAUAUGUUUUUCUCCUAGUUUAUCCUGAAAUUCGUUUGUUCAAUCCAGCUGUCAUUUUGUGGUGAUUAUCUAUAAUUCGUUGAUUCGUGACCUACGACCAAAUAAAUGAUCAUCACAAAACUUAUUACAAAUAAACCUUGCGUUUGUUUUUUUUUCUGUAUUGAACAUUUUGUACAGGUUUCUUCUAUCCACCGAGCAAGGUCAUGAUUUCUUGUGAUAUGACGUGUGAGGUACAGCCAACUAUAUUAGAGUGUACUACGGCUUGGAAAUAUAUUGGGAG
RNAcentral lists this long non-coding RNA (428 nucleotides) under Mytilus galloprovincialis (Mediterranean mussel). The record is from RNAcentral. Lineage: Eukaryota; Metazoa; Mollusca; Bivalvia; Mytilida; Mytilidae.